UUCAAUAAAAGAAAUUAAAACUCAUGUCACUUGGGCUCAAAACUGUUGCUCUCCUUUGCUACCCCGUAGCUGUAGCACAGAUAGUGUGUUAGAGGAGCGAGCAGAACACGUAACGCCUGGAGAUCAGAGGGACAGGCCUUGUGCAGUAAUAGUAAGGCCAGUGUACUGGCAGGCAUUUGGAGGGACUGUCAUACACGAGUCAUGGUGCCAGAGUCUACUUAAUGUAAUACUGAAACGAUCCUAUGACUGGGGACCAUUUUUGCAGUGAGUUUGCUGGGGAGAACCUGAAGAUCUAAGCGAUCUGUGUAGCCCCCACAGACAAUGGGGACGCUGAAUUGGGAUGAGCUGAAAAUCAGAUUUUGUCUGUUUGACCACAGAGACUGCACUCAAGUCAGACUAGAACAUCAGAGUACAAAUAAGCCAAAAGGACUUUAUCUCCAAGAACUGCAGUCUGAAGAGGACAGAUACACAGACAAUAACUAAAAUGUGUUUGUAGCCAAGUCCAGGGAAGGUGGUACCAGGGAGAGUGAACGCCUAACUCAGACUGGGAACAGAAUGCCAGUGACAUCUGGAGACAGUGUCCCAAGGAAAAUAGUAUUUCAGUUAAAGGUUAAUCAACCUUUCUUUUUCCAGAACUGGGAAUGAAGCCGCCGAGUCUGAAUUUGCACAGGCCAGGCAAGUGCUUGGCGGCUCAGCUACCUCCCCAGACCCUGUGUUUUGUUUUUGUUGUGUUUGUUUGUUUGCAUUUGAGACAGGUUCUCACUGGCAGUCCAAUACCACCUUGGAUUUAACAUGUAUCCCUGGCUGGCUGGGAGUUCGAGAUCCAGAGCCCCAGCCCCCUGAGCACUGGAAUCGCAGAACAAAACGGGAAUGUACGUUCAGUAGAGCAAGCUGCUGGAGGCCAGAGAGCACCUUGGGGUAAGUGUGCCACCCGCUAUGCUCCAUUCUCUUCACUCCUGAGUGUCAGCCUUCCGGGAUUAUUGUGGGAAAUGCUCAGAAAAGUGCCCAGCACCUAAGCAUGCACUGGAUGGUCAAUAUGACGGACAUGUAUUUGACCUCAUACAUUUUUUAAGCAAUCGUGUCUGAAGUCCAAGGUUUUUCUUCCUUAUGGCUCAUGGAGGUUACUCUGAUUCUAGGAAAUCUGUUCAAUAUGUUUGGCAUUUGAAAAAUAAAAUGAUGGAACAACAGAGUGGCGUAUGCUUGUAAUCUCGGCCCUCAGGAGGGAGGGGCAGGGAAAAUCAACAUCGAGGCCAACUUGUGCCACACAGCAAGAACCUGUCUAAGACAAACAACAAGCAAAAGCAAGCACGAUCGGCUCCUUCCUCUCUGCCGGCGGGCUCGGCUGUACCUAGGAGCGUCCAUCGUUCUCCUCGGGUUCCGAGGCUUGGGCGGAGUAAGCUUGUCUGCUCCCUGAAGAACAGCGGCAGCAGCACGUGGACAUUCACCCGACUUAGCUACACUCUGUGGACGCUCAGGACAACUCGCGGGAAUCCGUUCUGGCCUCCGGCCAUGUCGGUUUCAGGGAAUGAAUGCAGCUCAUCGGGGUUGGUCUGAGCACCUUCUCCCGCUUGCUGUGCCAUCUGGCUGGCCUAAGGGCUGGUGAAAGUCUUCAACCUCUCUGUGUGAGUGUUUGCCUACAUGUAUGUGCAUGUGCUAUGUGCAUGCAUGAUGUCUACAGAGGCCAGAAGAGGGCACUCAAUUUCCUGGAACUGGAGUUGUCGGUUGUGAGCUGCCAUGGGGUACUAAGAACUGAUCCCCCUCUGCAGGGCAGCAAGCACUUCUAGCCCCUGGGCCAUCUCUCCAGCCGCACCCUGCUACUGUCUAGUCACAGGAAUAUGCGGAAGUGCUCCGGGAACACCUUCUCCCCCUGCUGCUGCUGACUCCAGCACUGCUGCAGGACCCGGAUUCUUUCAGCGCGGCCUGGGGCUUUGCCAGUGGAGAAGCUUGUCAUCCGAUGGGGCUCCCUUCCCGACCCUGGUGCUCCAGCCUCCAGUUCUGGGAGGUGGCGGGGUGAUGGAGUCAAGAACGAGGGUGGAAGGCCAGGGAGAGAGCAGCUCUGCACAGACAAUUACAAUGGGCUCAAAACCCCAGAACAUUUACCUUUUCCAACCGAAUGACUCUAUAAAAUGGACACCUGCCAUGUUCCUAACAUGAAUCACUGUACUUAGAGGCACACACAAGUGCAGUGCAGUCACGCCUAGUUGCUCACUGAUGUCUCAGAUCCAAUGCUCAGGGUUCAGUGCCUGAGCCAAAUGUUAAAGUUAUUUGUUCUUGUCAAUAAACUAAACUUUACGGUGACCCUCUAUUUUUAUUAUGCCACAUGUAUUUUAAGAGAGGUGGCUCCUGCUCAAGCUGGCUCUAGUGAGGGGCUCUAGUGAGGCCUGCUGAAUGCCAAGGAAGCGCUUCCCCUGGGGAUGCCCCAUCAGCAUGCAAGGCUGGCUAGGUCUGUGUAGUUUUUCCUGGCUCUAGGAAAGCCACCCUCUCAAUGAUACUGCACCAUAUCAGGAAAGUCUUUUGGGGUCUGGGGCUUCAAGUGCAGUGUUGCCUGGUCCUCAGCCUGCUACAGAGAUGCUGUUUGGAAAUGAAAUAAAAUAUGAAAAAAAAAACCCCACAAAAUAACAAAUGAAGCAAAGCAAAGACUGACCCCUACACACACAGCUGUGAAAUACCAUGUGCCAAACAGCCAAAAUGCACAGGUGACUUCCCGUUCAUCUCUCUUAGGCCCAGAUGUAACCACACAUUCCUGUCUGCCGAGCUGCAAAGGGCCAGGGCCACACUUGUUGUGAGUGUGAGGAUGGGCCUGUCGUCUGGAUGUUUGGAGUAGUUUCCCUUAAAAAAUGCUGGGGACCUAGAUGUGUGAGAAUUUGGGUGGUCUUGAGAGACUCCCCCACGCAGACCCACAGCCACACUGUGGCAGCUGGAUGGAUGGAGCAGGUGCAUGGGAACAGAGCUUUCAUAUCCCCAGUCAGUGAAGCUGUGUGGUAAAUGGGGCUUUCUGCUCCAAAAAGAGAAGAAAAAAAAUCACAGCUGUAUUUCCUUUUACCCCCCAAAAGCUUUAACGCUUAAGUUUUGGAAUUCAAGCAAUACAAUAAAAAUAUAUAACUUU
Molecule: small RNA, 3106 nt
Filed under: Rattus norvegicus (Norway rat)
Lineage: Eukaryota; Metazoa; Chordata; Mammalia; Rodentia; Muridae
Description: uncharacterized LOC102556219
Source: RNAcentral